CACUACAAGGAUCCUCAGUACGGCGAGCGAACGGGAAGACUCAAAUUUGUAAUCUGGCGUCUUCCAAGCGUCCGAGUUGUAAUCUAUAGAAUUGUUUGCGGUGCCGGACCGUGUCUAUGUCCCUUGGAAGGAGGUAUCAAAGAGGGUGACACNCCCCUGCGGGANGGUAUUACCGGUGCUCUGUGACACAUUCUCUAAGACUCGAGUUGUGGGGGAAUGCACUCUAAAUGGGUGGUAAAUCCCUCUAAAGCUAAAUAUUGGCGAGAGACCGAUAGCGAACUAUACCGUGAGGGAAAGAUGAACACACUUUGGAAAGAUAGUUAAACACUUCGUGAAAUUGUUGAAGAGGGGAACGAUUGAAUCACUCCCNUCCGGGGGUUUCAGCUUGCUCUGCAGGUGUAUUACCCCGGAGCGAGCAACCUCUGUUUUGGCGCGGCGGACAAAAGCCNACUGAAUGUGGCNCCCUCCGGUGUGUCAUACUCCCUGUGUCAUACGCUGCCUGACACUAACGACUACNGCUCCCCUUACGGGUCCCCCUUCGGGGACUUCACAUCGAUUAAAUAUUUCAAUUUAACAACCUCU
RNAcentral lists this ribosomal RNA (582 nucleotides) under Dioszegia hungarica. Its description in RNAcentral is "eukaryotic LSU rRNA". It matches the Rfam family "Eukaryotic large subunit ribosomal RNA", at positions 63 to 619 of the family's 3401-position model. The record is from RNAcentral. Lineage: Eukaryota; Fungi; Basidiomycota; Tremellomycetes; Tremellales; Bulleribasidiaceae.